RNAcentral lists this ribosomal RNA (1353 nucleotides) under uncultured bacterium. Its description in RNAcentral is "partial 16S ribosomal RNA". It matches the Rfam family "Bacterial small subunit ribosomal RNA", at positions 28 to 1377 of the family's 1533-position model. The record is from RNAcentral.
GACGAACAACUGGUUCGCCGCAUUAACACCUGCAUGGCGAACACAAAGGCCCCGCAUUUGUGGGGGGCUAGAGUGACACACCGGUGAGAAACAAGAGAGUAUCCUGCCCAUGACUUCGGGAUCACUUCAUGAAACUGCUGUUAAUACCCCAUAGGAGCUCCUGCUAGCCGGUGGACAGUUUGGAAAGAUGCUGACUUGGGGUCAUGGACUCCUUGCUUAUCAGUCUAGCUGGGGGGGUACCGGCGUACCCCCGCUUUAACGGGCUGCCGGCCUGAGAGGAUGACCGGCCUCAUUGCGACAGAUAUACGGCCCUCACUCCAACUGGACUGACCACUGGGGAACAUCGCCUGUUGGCCAGAAGCCUGAUACAUCAACGCCUCUUGCGGGAUGACGGCCUUCGGGUUGUAAGACCGCUUUCUCCUGUGACGAAGCGAAAUAUGACGGUAAUGGGCUAACGAAUGCAGCGGGUAACUACGUGCCACCAUCAGCUUUGAUCCUUAGGGCGCGAGCCCCGUCCGGAUUUAUUGGGCGUAAAUGGCUCGUAGGCGGUUGAUCGCGUCCGAAGUGUAAUCUAGGGGCUUAACCCUGAGCGUGCUUUCGAUACGGGUGUACUUGAGGAAGGUAGGGGAGAAUGGAAUUCUCUUGUGGAGCGGUGGAAUGCGCAGAUAUCAGGAGGAACACCAGUGGCGAAGGCGGUUCUCUGGGCCUUUCCUGACGCUGAGGAGAGAAAGAGUGUGGAGCGAACAGGUUUAGAUACCCUGGUAGUACACGCUGUAAACGGUGGGUACUAGGUGUGGGGUCCAUUCCACGGGUUCCGUGCUGUAGCUAAUGCUUUAAGUACACCGCCUGGGGAGUACGGCCGCAAGGGUAAAACUCAAAGGAAUUGACGGGGCCCCGCACAAGCGGCGGAGCAUGCGGAUUAAUUCGAUGCAACGCGAAGAACCUUACCUGGGUUUGACAUGGAUCGGGAGUGCUCAGAGAUGGGUGUGCCUCUUUUGGGGUCGGUUCACAGGUGGAGCAUGCCCGUCGUCAGCUCGUGUAGUGAGAUGUUGGGUUAAGUCCCGCAACGAGGGCAACCCUUGUUCACUGUUGCCAGCACGUUAUGGUGGGGAGUCAGUGGAGACCGCCGGGGUCAACUCGGAGGAAGGUGGGGAUGUCGUCAAGUCAUCAUUCUCCUUAUGUCCAGGGCUUCAGGCAUGAUACAAUGGCUGGUACAGAGAGUGGUGAGCAUGUGAGGGUGAGGGAAUCUGGGAAAGCCGGUCUCAGUUUGGAUUGGGGUUUGCAACUUGACCUCAUGAAGUGGGAGUCGUUAGUAAUCGCAGAUCAGGAACGAUGCGGCGAAUAAGUUCUCGG